GAUAUGGAGGUCUUGGUCGCUUUAUGACAUUUCAUUGUUACGAAUGGCACACAGAAAAAUGCUUUGUCCCUUUCUGAAAUUGAAGCCAACCACAGGCGUGAAGGUGCGGCCCAGUAUCCCAACAAAGGAACAGGAAGUGGAGAAGUGAUCAAAGAAUCACAGAGCCGGCCAUUUUCUGUUCCAGCAUGACUGUACCUCAGUGCCUGAAGCAAGGUCCAUAAAGAUCAGUUUCACAGGGAAAGACGUCUGACUUCAACCCGGUCACACAGUUUUGGGGCAAAGUAGAGCAAGAGAUUGUGAGUCAGGCCAGAUUUCACUUUUCACCGUUUUUCUCUGAACUGUUCAUCUGGAUGAUUACAUCUCCCAGAUACUUUGCCAACAUCUUGUAGAAAGUCUUUACUCAAGAGUGGAAGCUUCAAAAUGGAAAGUGACUUCAUGUUAUGAUUUUUUUUUUAGAGUCUGAGGAGAGA
Hippocampus comes (tiger tail seahorse) is the source of this 470-nucleotide long non-coding RNA. RefSeq lists it as uncharacterized. The transcript is spliced from 3 exons. The record is from RefSeq and is a predicted model, not a curated record. NCBI's taxonomy places the organism in Eukaryota, Metazoa, Chordata, Actinopteri, Syngnathiformes, Syngnathidae.